This 2937-nucleotide ribosomal RNA is filed under the name Edwardsiella tarda. RNAcentral describes it as "bacterial LSU rRNA". It matches the Rfam family "Bacterial large subunit ribosomal RNA". Lineage: Bacteria; Pseudomonadati; Pseudomonadota; Gammaproteobacteria; Enterobacterales; Hafniaceae. The record is from RNAcentral.
GGGUUGUGAGGUUAAGUGACUAAGCGUACACGGUGGAUGCCUAGGCAGUCAGAGGCGAUGAAGGACGUGCUAAUCUGCGAUAAGCGUCGGUGAGCUGAUAUGAAGCAUUAUUAGCCGGCGAUGUCCGAAUGGGGAAACCCAGUGCAAUUCGUUGCACUAUCGUUAAGUGAAUACAUAGCUUAACGAGGCGAACCAGGGGAACUGAAACAUCUAAGUACCCUGAGGAAAAGAAAUCAACCGAGAUUCCCCUAGUAGCGGCGAGCGAACGGGGAAGAGCCCAGAACCUGAAUCAGUUUGUGCAUUAGUGGAAGCGUCUGGAAAGUCGCGCGAUACCGGGUGAUAGCCCCGUACACGAAGGUGCACAGCUGUGAGUUCGAUGAGUAGGGCGGGACACGUGUUAUCCUGUCUGAAUAUGGGGGGACCAUCCUCCAAGGCUAAAUACUCCUGACUGACCGAUAGUGAACCAGUACCGUGAGGGAAAGGCGAAAAGAACCCCGGCGAGGGGAGUGAAAUAGAACCUGAAACCGUGUACGUACAAGCAGUGGGAGCAUCCUUCGGGGUGUGACUGCGUACCUUUUGUAUAAUGGGUCAGCGACUUAUAUUUUGUAGCAAGGUUAACCGAAUAGGGGAGCCGUAGGGAAACCGAGUCUUAACUGGGCGUCUAGUUGCAAGGUAUAGACCCGAAACCCGGUGAUCUAGCCAUGGGCAGGUUGAAGGUUGGGUAACACUAACUGGAGGACCGAACCGACUAAUGUUGAAAAAUUAGCGGAUGACUUGUGGCUGGGGGUGAAAGGCCAAUCAAACCGGGAGAUAGCUGGUUCUCCCCGAAAGCUAUUUAGGUAGCGCCUCGUGAAUUCAUCUUCGGGGGUAGAGCACUGUUUCGGCUAGGGGGUCAUCCCGACUUACCAACCCGAUGCAAACUACGAAUACCGAAGAAUGUUAUCACGGGAGACACACGGCGGGUGCUAACGUCCGUCGUGAAGAGGGAAACAACCCAGACCGCCAGCUAAGGUCCCAAAGUCAUGGUUAAGUGGGAAACGAUGUGGGAAGGCAUAGACAGCCAGGAUGUUGGCUUAGAAGCAGCCAUCAUUUAAAGAAAGCGUAAUAGCUCACUGGUCGAGUCGGCCUGCGCGGAAGAUGUAACGGGGCUAAACCAUGCACCGAAGCUGCGGCAGCGACACUAUGUGUUGUUGGGUAGGGGAGCGUUCUGUAAGCCUGUGAAGGUGGCCUGUGAGGGCUGCUGGAGGUAUCAGAAGUGCGAAUGCUGACAUAAGUAACGAUAAAGCGGGUGAAAAGCCCGCUCGCCGGAAGACCAAGGGUUCCUGUCCAACGUUAAUCGGGGCAGGGUAAGUCGACCCCUAAGGCGAGGCCGAAAGGCGUAGUCGAUGGGAAACAGGUUAAUAUUCCUGUACUUGGUGUUAUUGCGAAGGGGGGACGGAGAAGGCUAGACCGGCCGGGCGACGGUUGUCCCGGUUUAAGCGUGUAGGUGUGAUGACCUGGCAAAUCCGGUUAUCUUUAACACUGAGGCGUGAUGACGAGGCACUACGGUGCUGAAGUGGUUAAUGCCCUGCUUCCAGGAAAAGCCUCUAAGCUCUAGAUAACACUGAAUCGUACCCCAAACCGACACAGGUGGUCAGGUAGAGAAUACCAAGGCGCUUGAGAGAACUCGGGUGAAGGAACUAGGCAAAAUGGUGCCGUAACUUCGGGAGAAGGCACGCUGGCAUGUAGGUGAAGUCCCUCGCGGAUGGAGCUGAAGCCAGUCGAAGAUACCAGCUGGCUGCAACUGUUUAAUAAAAACACAGCACUCUGCAAACACGAAAGUGGACGUAUAGGGUGUGACGCCUGCCCGGUGCUGGAAGGUUAAUUGAUGGGGUCAGCCGCAAGGCGAAGCUCUUGAUCGAAGCCCCAGUAAACGGCGGCCGUAACUAUAACGGUCCUAAGGUAGCGAAAUUCCUUGUCGGGUAAGUUCCGACCUGCACGAAUGGCGUAAUGAUGGCCAGGCUGUCUCCACCCGAGACUCAGUGAAAUUGAACUCGCUGUGAAGAUGCAGUGUACCCGCGGCAAGACGGAAAGACCCCGUGAACCUUUACUAUAGCUUGACACUGAACAUUGAACCUUGAUGUGUAGGAUAGGUGGGAGGCUUUGAAGUGUGGACGCCAGUCUGCAUGGAGCCGACCUUGAAAUACCACCCUUUAAUGUUUGAUGUUCUAACCUGGUCCCGUAAUCCGGGAUAGGGACAGUGUCUGGUGGGUAGUUUGACUGGGGCGGUCUCCUCCCAAAGAGUAACGGAGGAGCACGAAGGUUAGCUAAUCCUGGUCGGACAUCAGGAGGUUAGUGCAAAGGCAUAAGCUAGCUUGACUGCGAGAGUGACGGCUCGAGCAGGUGCGAAAGCAGGUCUUAGUGAUCCGGUGGUUCUGAAUGGAAGGGCCAUCGCUCAACGGAUAAAAGGUACUCCGGGGAUAACAGGCUGAUACCGCCCAAGAGUUCAUAUCGACGGCGGUGUUUGGCACCUCGAUGUCGGCUCAUCACAUCCUGGGGCUGAAGUAGGUCCCAAGGGUAUGGCUGUUCGCCAUUUAAAGUGGUACGCGAGCUGGGUUUAGAACGUCGUGAGACAGUUCGGUCCCUAUCUGCCGUGGGCGUUGGAAGAUUGAGAGGGGCUGCUCCUAGUACGAGAGGACCGGAGUGGACGCACCGCUGGUGUUCGGGUUGUGAUGCCAAUUGCAUUGCCCGGUAGCUACGUGCGGAAGAGAUAAGCGCUGAAAGCAUCUAAGCGCGAAACUUGCCUCGAGAUGAGUCUUCCCUUGGACCUUGAGUCCACUAAAGGAACGUUUGAGACUAAGACGUUGAUAGGCUGGGUGUGUAAGCGUAGCGAUACGUUGAGCUAACCAGUACUAAUGAUCCGUGAGGCUUAACCUUACAACACCGAAGGUGUUUUAG